RNA transcript from Arachis stenosperma, 2008 nucleotides. RefSeq lists it as uncharacterized. The record is from RefSeq and is a predicted model, not a curated record. NCBI's taxonomy places the organism in Eukaryota, Viridiplantae, Streptophyta, Magnoliopsida, Fabales, Fabaceae. The transcript is spliced from 4 exons.
UCUUUUUCUUCUUCCUCUGAUAAACCAACCAGAGAAAAACUCCUAACCAAGGUCACACCUCUUGGUCACCGCUUGGAAUGAUUGGCUUCUGAUUAGGUGUCCUCUGAAGAAGAAACCACGCCACUCUCUUCACCACCUCAUCCCACUUCUUCCCCUCCUAUUUAUAUGUCCAUUACUUCUUCUGGGUCUUCUUUUUCUGUGCAAAAAAAUGGAAUUGGGAACGAGAGAGCAGGAGAAUGACAGAGGGAGUAGGAGUGACACCAAAAGAAGGUUAAGGAGGAGUCUUUCAAAUUCUUCUUGUUCUCCAUCAAUCAGAGCAGCAAGAGGAGCAGAGUGAUGGCGUGAGAUGGGGCUGACCGAAGCUGAAGGGGCUGGCCAAAGUUUGAAGUAAAGCUGACCAAGGGAGGAAGAGAAAGCUAGGACUGAUUUCAUGAGAAAGGGUGAACUCCAUUGAGGUUGAAGUUGAUUUAGCUCUCUCAGCUCAUGCCAAUGCUCGGAGGUGGUAUGAACUAAAGAAAAAGCAAGAGAGCAAACAGGAAAAGACUAUAACUGCGCAUGAAAAGGCGUUUAAAGCUGCAGAGAAAAAGACUCGCCUACAGCUUAAUCAGGAAAAAAUUGUUGCCACAAUUUCACAUAUGCGAAAAGUUCACUGGUUUGAGAAAUUUAAUUGGUUCAUUAGCAGUGAGAACUAUUUGAUUAUUAGUGGACGUGAUGCCCAACAAAAUGAGAUGAUAGUGAAGCGAUAUAUGUCAAAAGGAGAUCUGCUUUUUGGUUUUAAUGCUACAAAGAUGAGAAUGGAUGACAGGAUUAGUCUUAGCAUGAGUGAUCCGAAUCUUGUUCCACUUCUUAUCCAGGUUCUUUAAUCCAUUUUCUUUCACUUUAUUUUUAUUCUUUUUAAAAUACAACUGCUUAGUUAAAAUCAUAGAAUUGUUUAUUAAACUUAUGAUCAGUUGAAAUAAAAAAUUUAUACCACAUUGUGUACCUACUGUGUAUUAAAAUAACCCUAUUGUUGAACAUAUACCCAAAACCUGCUUAAACUUUGAAUAAUCUCAUUCGUGAUGUUGUUUCAAGGAAAACCAUCAUUUUAUUUGGGCUGCAUGUUUGUUGAUUUCAUCAUAUAUUGAUGAAUGUGCACUUUUGUGUAACAAUCUGGAAAUUCAAAAUUGCCUUCCUUUCUUUUGUUUUAUUAAGUAAUAUGUAGUUGAUGCUUUCCUGGUGAAUAGCCAUAUCCACUUCUAUGCGAUCUUGCAAACUUGAUGGAGAUUUAGGGCCCAGUUGGGUAACUACUUUUUUAAAUAAAAAAUAAAAUAUUAAUUCUUUUGAUUUCUUUUUUCAUUUUCAAUUUGUAUCUAUUUAUUGGGUUUUUUGCUUUCAACAAAACAAAGAAAGGGGUCUUACUUUUGUAAUAUAUGAGAAAAACUUAUCAACUAAAAUAACAACAGAAACAAAACUAAGUGCCCCAUAAGAAUUUUUUAUUCUUUUUUUUUUGUUAUUAUCUUAUGUAUGUGCAGAGGAGAUUACAUUUUUGACUGAGGGUGAUGAUCCUAACGAUAAUGAUGUUGUAUUAAAGAAGCUUUUUCACCCUAAUCUCAAGCUAUUAAUUGUGACACAAGGUUCAGGUUGUAGAUAUUACACCAAGGUAAGCUUACUACCAAGUCCAUUUGAGAGUGAGUGGCAUAAGCACUUGUUUCAUUGUUGAUUGUGUGCACAGAAAUUCAAAGGCUGGGUGGCAGAUGUUAAAGUUAAUCCCAUUGAUACAACUGGGGCCGGUGAUGCAUUUGUUAGUGGGAUUCUCUACAGCAUUUGCUCAUAAUCAAUGUGAAACUUGAUACUGCCAAUGCAAUUUAGUUAUCCAUUAAUAUUUUAGAUUGUCCCAUUUUAAGUGUUAAGUGUAAUGUUAAUGAAAGAGAUCCAUGUAACAUUAGGAUGGUCAUCUUAUUUUUUUUGUAUCUUUUUAUUGAGAUAGCGAGAUAUUGGCCAAUGAUGUUGAAAAAUAACAUCCAAUUUU